This 450-nucleotide ribosomal RNA is filed under the name uncultured bacterium. RNAcentral's name for it is "partial 16S ribosomal RNA". It matches the Rfam family "Bacterial small subunit ribosomal RNA", at positions 354 to 796 of the family's 1533-position model. The record is from RNAcentral.
GUGGGGAAUAUUCCGCAAUGGACGAAAGUCUGACGGAGCAACGCCGCGUGAGUGAUGAAGGUUUUCGGACUGUAAAGCUCUGUUGUUUAGGACGAAAGUGCCUGUUGCAAAUAGUUACAGGUAUUGACGGUACUGAACGAGGAAGCCACGGCUAACUACGUGCCAGCAGCCGCGGUAAUACGUAGGUGGCAAGCGUUGUCCGGAAUUAUUGGGCGUAAAGAGCAUGAAGGCGGGAAUCUAAGUCUGUUGUGAAAAUGCGGGGCUCAACCCCGGAGUGCGAUGGAAACUGGGUUUCUUGAGUGCAGGAGAGGAAAGGGGAAUUCCCAGUGUAGCGGUGAAAUGCGUAGAUAUUGGGAGGAACACCAGUGGCGAAGGCGCCUUUCUGGACUGUGUCUGACGCUGAGAUGCGAAAGCCAGGGUAGCGAACGGGAUUAGAAACCCCUGUAGUCC